CCUACGGGAGGCAGCAGUGGGGAAUAUUGGGCAAUGGGCGCAAGCCUGACCCAGCAACGCCGCGUGAAGGAAGAAGGCUUUCGGGUUGUAAACUUCUUUUGACAGGGAAGAGUAGAAGACGGUACCUGUCGAAUAAGCCACGGCUAACUACGUGCCAGCAGCCGCGGUAAUACGUAGGGGGCAAGCGUUGUCCGGAAUGACUGGGCGUAAAGGGAGUGUAGGCGGCUUAUCAAGUUAGAUGUGAAAUCCCGCGGCUUAACCGCGGAACUGCAUCUAAAACUGGUGAGCUGGAGUGCAGGAGAGGG
This 305-nucleotide ribosomal RNA is filed under the name uncultured bacterium. Its description in RNAcentral is "bacterial SSU rRNA". It matches the Rfam family "Bacterial small subunit ribosomal RNA", at positions 338 to 658 of the family's 1533-position model. The record is from RNAcentral.